Molecule: ribosomal RNA, 468 nt
Filed under: uncultured bacterium
Lineage: Bacteria
Description: partial 16S ribosomal RNA
Rfam family: Bacterial small subunit ribosomal RNA
Source: RNAcentral
GACGAACGCUGGCGGCGUGCUUAACACAUGCAAGUCGAACGGAAAGGCCCUGCUUUUGUGGGGUGCUCGUGUGGCGAUCGGGUGUGUAUCACGUGUGUAUCCUGCCCUUGUCUUUGGUAUAUCUUCAGGAAACUGGUGCUAAUACCGGAUAGGAUCUCCUGCUGCAUGGUGUGGGUUGGAAAGUUUCGGCGGUUGGGGAUGGACUCGCGGCUUAUCAGCUUGUUUGUGGGGUAGUGGCUUACCAAGGCUUUGACGGGUAGCCGGCCUGGGAGGGUGACCGGCGACAAUGGGAAUGAGAUACGGACCAGACGGCAACGGGAGGCAGCAGGGGGGAAUAUUGCACAAUGGGCGGAAGCAUGAGGCAGAAACGGAGCGUGCGGGAAGACGGCCUUCGGGUUGUAAAAAGAAGUAGAAUGAGAAGAAGAGUGAGUGACGGUAAUGGGUAAAGAAGCAACGGCUAACUACGUG